UGGAUUUAUAGCUGUUCAUGCAAACAUGGAGAGAUUAUGGUGUAUUUUCCAGCAGUUAAGAGGUAAUGCUAAAUAUGUAGAGGUGUUAUCAGUUAGAAUCUUAGGUUGAGCAACAUACUGACUUAUUGUGUAAUACUUGAUUGUACA
Molecule: long non-coding RNA, 147 nt
Organism: Strongylocentrotus purpuratus (purple sea urchin)
Lineage: Eukaryota; Metazoa; Echinodermata; Echinoidea; Camarodonta; Strongylocentrotidae
Exons: 2
Source: RefSeq, a predicted model, not a curated record